Molecule: long non-coding RNA, 935 nt
Filed under: Danio rerio (zebrafish)
Lineage: Eukaryota; Metazoa; Chordata; Actinopteri; Cypriniformes; Danionidae
Description: si:ch211-209m20.7 (ENSDARG00000098011.2)
Source: RNAcentral
AUCCUUUCAACCUUCACGAGAACUGAGAGACACAACGAUCAGCCAUGGCGGAAGCGAAAGCCCUGAAUAUGGCUUCCAAAACUCAAUUUCUACUGCUGCUAGUGGCUGUGAUGAUUACAAGCUACAAUGCUGUUGGUGGCAUCGACACGGCUACAUACGAACCACUCAACUGCACAACCAAAUGCAUAACCAAUGGAACAUUCAACUGCACAAACAACUGCACAGCAAAUGGAACAUUCAACUGCACAAACAACUGCACAGACAAUGGAAUAGCCGCCUGCUUAGCCAACUGCAUGGUCAAUGUAACAGUCAACUGCACAAACAACUGCACAGCCAAUGGAACAAUCACCUGCACAGUCAAUGGCUUAAAUUUAAUAUACAACUGCACUCCUGGCAUCAACAACAUGACCAGCAGCAACAUCACCAUCAACAGCACAACCAACAACGGCACAACCAACAACAGCACAACCAACAACAGCACAACCAACAACAGCACAACCAACAACAGCACAAGCUGGACAACUCCGAGCUCAAACCAUGGCAACUCUAUUGCUCCUUCCUUUUCACUUGUGGGAAUCAUGGGUCUGUCUGGACUACUACUUUUCUAUGCAACCGACAUAAAUGAUAUUUUCACUAAUCUACACAUGCUAGUGGCUAGGGACAAGUAUUCGUAUGUAAUUAUUAAAUGAGGCAUGCAUGACUCCUAUGAAAUGAACCGCAUAUUACCAUUUAUUGACAUUCUACAGUGACUCAUGAAAGAAACUCACUGCUGCUAUGUUGUCGCUUGCGGUGAUCAUGGGACUGUCUGGACUACUUUUCUGCUCAAUUUGACAUUGGUGAUAUUAUUACUAAUCUACAGAUGUUAAUGGUUAAAAACUGGUAUUUUUAUGUAAUUAAUAAAUGAGGCAUGUAUGGGCCAUCUUAAAUGACCUUCA